UACAGAGGUCUCAAGCGCUGUUCGGAAUCACUGGGCGUAAAGGGUGCGUAGGCCGCACGGAAAGUCAGAGGUGAAAUCCCGGAGCUCAACUUCGGAAUUGCCUCCGAUACUCCCGUGCUUGAGGACUGGAGAGGAGUCUGGAAUUCACAGUGGAGCAGUGAAAUGCGUAGAUAUUGUGAGGAACACUAGUGGCGAAGGCGAGACUCUGGACAGUUCCUGACGCUGAGGCACGAAGGCCAGGGGAGCAAACGGG
Molecule: ribosomal RNA, 253 nt
Filed under: uncultured bacterium
Lineage: Bacteria
Description: partial 16S ribosomal RNA
Rfam family: Bacterial small subunit ribosomal RNA
Source: RNAcentral